Small nucleolar RNA from Neodiprion virginianus, 89 nucleotides. RefSeq annotates it as small nucleolar RNA snR60/Z15/Z230/Z193/J17. The record is from RefSeq and is a predicted model, not a curated record. NCBI's taxonomy places the organism in Eukaryota, Metazoa, Arthropoda, Insecta, Hymenoptera, Diprionidae. The transcript has a single exon.
AAAAUUAAUGUGAUGAUUUCAUAGUUCAACUGAAGCGUUUUGAUGUACAUAUGAGUAAAUGUCUUUCGCUCCUAUCUGAUCUUGUUUAA